GCCCGGUUAGCUCAAUCGGUAGAGCGUGAGACUCUUAAUCUCAAGGUUGCGGGUAAGUUUACAUGACAAAAGCUAGCAACGUGGAAGACCCAAAACUAACUUGGAAUCCGUAGGUUCGACCCCCGCAUCGGGCU
This is a non-coding RNA of Nemania sp. FL0916, 134 nucleotides long. The record is from the annotation of a GenBank genome assembly. Lineage: Eukaryota; Fungi; Ascomycota; Sordariomycetes; Xylariales; Xylariaceae.